RNAcentral lists this ribosomal RNA (595 nucleotides) under Scarus dubius (regal parrotfish). RNAcentral describes it as "partial 16S ribosomal RNA". It matches the Rfam family "Bacterial large subunit ribosomal RNA", at positions 1808 to 2605 of the family's 2925-position model. Lineage: Eukaryota; Metazoa; Chordata; Actinopteri; Labriformes; Labridae. The record is from RNAcentral.
CAAAAACAUCGCCUCUUGCAAAAUCAACAAAUAAGAGGUCCCGCCUGCCCUGUGACUAUAUGUUUAACGGCCGCGGUAUUUUGACCGUGCGAAGGUAGCGCAAUCACUUGUCUUUUAAAUGGAGACCUGUAUGAAUGGCACGACGAGGGCUUAACUGUCUCCUUUCCUAAGUCAAUGAAAUUGAUCUCCCCGUGCAGAAGCGGGGAUAGACCCAUAAGACGAGAAGACCCUAUGGAGCUUUAGACACUAAAGCAGCUCAUGUUAAAAACCCCCUCACAAGGGGCCGAACUAGAUGACCCCUGUCCUAAUGUCUUUGGUUGGGGCGACCACGGGGUAACAAAAAACCCCCGCGCGGAACAGAAACACUGUUUCCAGAACCAAGAGUGCCCACUCUAAGUUACAAGACCCACUUGACCUUUAAGAUCCGGCAUUAAGCCGAUCAACGGACCGAGUUACCCUAGGGAUAACAGCGCAAUCUUCUUCGAGAGUUCAUAUCGACGAGAGGGUUUACGACCUCGAUGUUGGAUCAGGACAUCCUAAUGGUGCAGCCGCUAUUAAGGGUUCGUUUGUUCAACGAUUAAAGUCCUACGUGAUC